AGGAAGAGGAACUAGACAGAUUCAGAGAAAUCUACCCUAACAAUGAGAGAAGAGGUGGAAGAUUUGGAUACAGGGAGGAUUCAGGGAAAUCUGAUCAGCAGGUGGAGGAAGAGAAGAGAGGGAUGGCAGAUCUGAAGUUACCUUUGAGCUCCAAGGAAGAAACUGUGAAGAGGUUGGAAGAGGAUCAGAGGGUUAGAGAUCUCAAGGGCAAAGAGGAUGUUGCGGUGCUUGCUCCCACCUUCGAUCUGAUCCAACAACAGCAGUGGUUUCGGGCCUUGAUGGCACAGAUGGCCCAAGAAAAGAUGGAAAUCUUGUCGGGGGAAGGAAAUGUUGUCCCCCCUGGAAGCAGUAGAAGUAAUAUGUCUGAUGAGACUAAGAAAGAGCUUGCUAGAGGGAAAGUUACCAUGGAAAAAAGUGAAGCUGACAUGGGUAUGGGGAAUAAGCAAGGGAAGAAGGGAUGGACUCAGAGCAACAAGUUUGGUCAGAGGGAGAGCUUGGAUCAAAACAAAGCUGGAGGUAAUUUCAGAGUGUUGUGCAACAAAUGCAAAGACACCAGGCAUCUGACCAGAGACUGCAAGUUACCCAAUUGUAUCAUCUGUGGCAAGAACUCUCACAUUACUGAGGAGUGUGCAUGGCUGAAGCAAAUCAAGCCAACCCCCAAGUUUAUUGGAUAUGCUGCCAGAGGCUUAGGUGUGUUGCUGGUGCAGAACUCAAAAGAGGUAGUCAAUAGUGAACAGACUAACCCUAUGGCCACUGUGAACAUACUCUUUUGGGGAGAUCAAUGAAACACAGUUCCUGGAGGGGUUCAAUUACAUGUUUAGCUAGAACUGGCAGUGGAGAUGCAAGAAACAUGGAGACAGAGCUUAUUUGAUGAGAUUCCCUAGCAAGAGAAGACUGGCAGAGCUCCACAAAUUUGGAAACUUCAACUUGCUGGGAACCAAUGCUAUGAUCAAUGUGGACAGUUGGACUUAUGACACUCAAGCUAUUGGCAAAUUGUACACAGUGUGGGUGCAGUUUGGGAAAUCCCUGAGUGUUUCAGACACUUUUUUGGAAUGUGUGAGGUGGCUGCUUCUGUUGGUCCUGUUUUGGAAAUUGAUAUGACCACUAUUCUGAAAGAGAAAAUCAGGGUUAAAGUGGGAGUCAGAGACUUUGAAAAAAAUCCCCCAUCACACUGAGAUUACUGACAAAGAUCUGAUGAUCUAUAGAAUCAAUAUUGAGUUGGAAGAGGUGAUUGAACAAGGUUGGUAUGAAGAAAAAAGAAAGUUUGAGAACAUGGAAACUGAACUUGAUUGAACAACAAUGGGGGGUCAGAAAAAAAAUCAAGAUUGGAGAAAUGGGUUCAGAUGGAAUUAAGGAAAACAUCUCUUUGGCAAGUGUGGGACUCAAACAAUUUGAGGAGAUGCAACAGAAAAAUGAGGAGAUAUUGAAGAUGCAGAAAGAUUACUUAAUGGAGGUGGGCUUGAUAAAUAAAGUUGAGGUUGAGCUAGAUAAAGCUCUAAAAAAAGUCCAAGAAGUUGAGGAAAUCAGAUGCAGGAAUGAUGCUUGGAGAGCUGUGGAAGAAAAAAAGACUACUAAUUGGGAAAUAGAGAAGAAGAGUUUGCUGAAAAUGAUCCAAGGCCAACAAGAGCUGAUAAACAAGUGCAUGGAAAAAAAUGAUGCUUGGGAAGAGAAAGAGAUCUAUGGGGAAGACUUGUGUGAAAUGAGCUUGAGGCUAAAAUGACCCAGGAUCAAAUGCCUGAAGAUGCAUAUGCAGAGCCUGUGGAUUAUUCAGCCAGUCAAGACUCAAUGGAAUCUCUAGGCACAAAAUUAGGAAUUCACAAGAAGGAGGAAGGAGACAAGGAUAAAGAUAAGGAUUGACCUACUAGAAGAAGUGAUAGAAACCUGGAUUAAAAAGAUGCUAAAAUAGAAGACCUGGCCAAGGAAAGGGCAGCUGAAAAGAAAAUUAUGAAAAGGUGCCCAGGGGAAAGAAUGUUGAUGCUGGGAACAAAACUCAUCGUGCAAGUAGCAAGUGAUGUCUACAAGGCUGCACAAGGUUGGCGUUUUGGAGUUCUCCGAAUCCAGCAGUGACAGGGAUGAAGACUUCUCCUUUUGGUGCUUCGGCGAAGUGAAGUGGGAAUCUGCGCAUGAGGCUCAUCUUUUGUGCCUACCUAUGUGUUGCAUUAUUUUUUGUAGUUUCUUGCUUGGCCUGGUUAUAAUUUGAGACUUCUCUGAGAUGUAAUAGAGCUAGCUUUUAUUUGCAGUGGUAAAAACAUAUCGGAUGU
RNA transcript from Triticum dicoccoides, 2261 nucleotides. RefSeq lists it as uncharacterized. The record is from RefSeq and is a predicted model, not a curated record. NCBI's taxonomy places the organism in Eukaryota, Viridiplantae, Streptophyta, Magnoliopsida, Poales, Poaceae. The transcript is spliced from 2 exons.